This 447-nucleotide ribosomal RNA is filed under the name uncultured bacterium. Its description in RNAcentral is "bacterial SSU rRNA". It matches the Rfam family "Bacterial small subunit ribosomal RNA", at positions 355 to 825 of the family's 1533-position model. The record is from RNAcentral.
UGGGGAAUCUUGGACAAUGGGCGCAAGCCUGAUCCAGCCAUGCCGCGUGAGUGAAGAAGGCCUUAGGGUUGUAAAACUCUUUCGCCGGAGAAGAUAAUGACGGUAUCCGGAGAAGAAGCCCCGGCUAACUUCGUGCCAGCAGCCGCGGUAAUACGAAGGGGGCUAGCGUUGUUCGGAAUUACUGGGCGUAAAGCGCACGUAGGCGGGUCUGUAAGUAGAGGGUGAAAUCCCAGGGCUCAACCCUGGAACUGCCUUCUAGACUGCAGGCCUGGAGGUCAGGAGAGGCGAGCGGAAUUCCGAGUGUAGAGGUGAAAUUCGUAGAUAUUCGGAGGAACACCAGUGGCGAAGGCGGCUCGCUGGCUCGAUACUGACACUGAGGUGCGAAAGCGUGGGGAGCAAACAGGAUUAGAUACCCGGGUAGUCCCUGAGCGGGCUGGCAAGGCGCAU